Molecule: long non-coding RNA, 1317 nt
Filed under: Taeniopygia guttata (zebra finch)
Lineage: Eukaryota; Metazoa; Chordata; Aves; Passeriformes; Estrildidae
Description: lncRNA (ENSTGUG00000021051.1)
Source: RNAcentral
AUGACGUCACCCCCAGAGGGGUCGGGGGACCCCCCCUCCCCCACUGGGGGUCACCAGGACCCCCCCGGGGGUCACCAGGACCCCCCCGGUUUGGGGGUCCCUUCCCCCCCCGGUUUGGGGGUCCCCCCCCACAUUGGGGGUCCCUUCUCCCCCCCCUCGGGGGUCACCAGGACCCCCCCGGUUUGGGGGUCCCCCCUUUUCCGGGUGGGUCCCCCCCCCAAUUUUGGGGACAAUUGUGACUUUUCGGAGCCCCAAAUAAAUCGGAUUUUGUCCGAGCUUGGGAGAGGGGACAAUGAGGGGGCACCAGCUGUCCCUGUCACCUGUCUGUGUGUCUGUGUCACCUGUCUGUCCAUGUCACCUGUCCAUAUGUCUGUGUCACCUGUCCGUGUGUCCGUGCCACCUGUGUGUCUGUGCCACCUGUCUGUGUGUCCGUGUCACCUGUCCGUGUGUCUGUCUGUGUCACCUGUCUGUGUCUGUGUCACCUGUCUGUGUGUCCGUGUCACCUGUCUGUGUCACCUGUGUAUUUGUGUGUCCGUGUCACCUGUCCAUGUGUCUGUGUCACCUGUGUGUCUGUCUGUGUCACCUGUGUGUCCGUGUCACCUGUCUGUGUGUCCGUGUCACCUGUAUGUCUGUCUGUGUCACCUGUCCGUGUGUCCGUGUCACCUGUGUGUCUGUCUGUCCAUAUCACCUGUCCGUGUGUCUGUCCAAGUCACCUGUUUGUGUGUCCACCUGUCCCUGUCACCUGUGCAUGACAAGCUGCCAAUGUCACCUGUCCAUGUCACCUAUCCCUCUAUCAAUGUCACCUGCCCAUGUGUCUGUCUGUCCGUGUCACCUGUCCGUGUGUCUGUCCCUGUCACCUGUCUGUGUCACCUGUCUAUGCCAUCUGUCCGUGUGUCCUCCUCUUCCAUGUUAUCUGUCCCUGUGUCUGUCAAUGUCACCUGUCCCUGUCACCUGUCCCUGUAUGUGUUUGUGUCACCUGUCCAUGACAAGCUGCCAAUGUCACCUGUCCGUGUCACCUAUCCCUGUCUAUCAAUGUCACCUGUCCAUGUGUCUGUCUGUCCGUGUGUCCGUGUCACCUGUCUGUGUGUCUGCCUGUGUCACCUGUCCCCUGUCCCUGUCCCCAUCCCUGUCCCUGUCCCUGUCCCCAUCCCUGUCCCUCUCCCACUGUCCCCACAUGUCCCCACAUGUCCCCAAUGUCCCCACGUGUCCCCAAUGUCCCCACGGUGCCACUGUCACCGCUGUCACCUUUGUCACCGCUGUCCCCGUCCCCACCGGGACACCGCCGCGGUGGCAGUGUGUGACACUGUCACCCCCUGA